Molecule: long non-coding RNA, 498 nt
Organism: Mustela lutreola (European mink)
Lineage: Eukaryota; Metazoa; Chordata; Mammalia; Carnivora; Mustelidae
Exons: 3
Source: RefSeq, a predicted model, not a curated record
CUGACCUGGAAGCCCUGAGGAGAUCUAGCUGAUGGCCAGGAGAUGCUCAUGGUAAUCUCUUUCUACCUGGAAGAUAGAAAACUAAAAUGCCCACAAAGUUGGAUACCUGUUGGAUUACUGAAAAAUAUCCUCAAGAAAUGGACGGGUGUAUUUUCAUUGGCAAGUGCAGCAGGGCUGAAAAAGUCAGGCACAAACCCAGGAUGUCAAACCCCUCUUUGAGAUACCAGCCACCCCAGCCACCCAUAGGUUCUCUCUUUUCAUACAUGAGGAUGAUGCAAGCAUUCCUACUCUGGAUGGAUGCUCUCAGUGCCUACCUCACCAACACUUCAGUCAAGAGUCAGAGAAAUCUCUCCCUAAAUGAAAGUGCCAUUUCCAUGGACAGGCCAACUUGUUGAAGGUAUGGCUUCGAGUUAUUUUGAGCAGUGUGAGAGAACUAUCUGUAGGUUGUGGGACCUGCCUUCAUGUGUUCUGCUUCUGUAUUUGGAACUUUCACUUGUC